Molecule: microRNA, 24 nt
Filed under: Homo sapiens (human)
Lineage: Eukaryota; Metazoa; Chordata; Mammalia; Primates; Hominidae
Description: hsa-miR-6840-5p
Source: miRBase by way of RNAcentral
ACCCCCGGGCAAAGACCUGCAGAU